RNAcentral lists this transfer RNA (77 nucleotides) under Candidatus Saccharimonadota bacterium. Its description in RNAcentral is "tRNA-Arg". It matches the Rfam family "tRNA". From Rfam's summary of the family: Transfer RNA (tRNA) molecules are approximately 80 nucleotides in length. Their secondary structure includes four short double-helical elements and three loops (D, anti-codon, and T loops). Further hydrogen bonds mediate the characteristic L-shaped molecular structure. tRNAs have two regions of fundamental functional importance: the anti-codon, which is responsible for specific mRNA codon recognition, and the 3' end, to which the tRNAs corresponding amino acid is attached (by aminoacyl-tRNA synthetases). tRNAs cope with the degeneracy of the genetic code in two manners: having more than one tRNA (with a specific anti-codon) for a particular amino acid; and 'wobble' base-pairing, i.e. permitting non-standard base-pairing at the 3rd anti-codon position. Lineage: Bacteria; Candidatus Saccharimonadota. The record is from RNAcentral. RNAcentral also lists the same sequence under 1 other name.
GCCUCCGUAGCUCAGUGGAUUAGAGCAUCGGGCUUCUAUCCCGUUGGCCGUAGGUUCGAGUCCUACCGGAGGUACCA